Molecule: ribosomal RNA, 118 nt
Filed under: uncultured bacterium
Lineage: Bacteria
Description: partial 16S ribosomal RNA
Rfam family: Bacterial small subunit ribosomal RNA
Source: RNAcentral
UACGGGAGGCAGCAGUGGGGAAUUUUGCCCAAUGGGGGAAACCCUGACGCAGCAACGCCGCUUGGGGGAUGAAGCCCUUUGGGUUUAAACUCCUUCGACCGGACGAUAAUGACGUACC